AUCCAGAUGACAAGUCCCACAUAGAACGAAAUGCGCGUCCUGGAU
RNAcentral lists this non-coding RNA (45 nucleotides) under Schistosoma margrebowiei. Lineage: Eukaryota; Metazoa; Platyhelminthes; Trematoda; Strigeidida; Schistosomatidae. The record is from RNAcentral.